AUGGCGUCGGCCGUGUUGACCUCCUACCCGGGUGCGGCCAUUGAGUGGGAUGAUUAUGAUGUUGGUGAUGGGCUGCGGGCGGCCGUGACGCUGGUGGAGUCCGGAGGGGGCUCCAGACCCCCGGCGGGGCGGGGAAGGGGCUGGAGUUCGUCGCGUAUAUUAGCAGCAGUGGUGGUUACACAAGCUACGGGUCGGCGGUCAAGGGCCGCUUCACCAUCUCCAGGGACGACUCCCAGAGCACGGUCACGCUGCAGAUGAGCAGCCUCACGGCCGGCGACACGGCCACCUACUACUGCGUCAAAG
Tauraco erythrolophus (red-crested turaco) is the source of this 303-nucleotide non-coding RNA. The record is from the annotation of a RefSeq genome assembly. NCBI's taxonomy places the organism in Eukaryota, Metazoa, Chordata, Aves, Musophagiformes, Musophagidae.